GAAAAAGUACGCAAGAACUGCUAAUUCAUGCGUCCAUGYAUAAAAUCAUGGCUUUUUCA
Molecule: transfer RNA, 59 nt
Filed under: Ursus arctos (brown bear)
Lineage: Eukaryota; Metazoa; Chordata; Mammalia; Carnivora; Ursidae
Description: tRNA-Ser
Source: RNAcentral